Molecule: ribosomal RNA, 933 nt
Filed under: uncultured bacterium
Lineage: Bacteria
Description: bacterial SSU rRNA
Rfam family: Bacterial small subunit ribosomal RNA
Source: RNAcentral
ACACAUGCAGUCGAGCGGAACGACAUCUUCGGAUGGGCGUCGAGCGGCGGACGGGUGAGUAAUGCCUAGGAAUCUGCCCUUUUGUGGAGGAUAACCCGGGGAAACUCGGGCUAAUACUGCAUAAUCUCUACGGAGCAAAGCGGGGCUCUUCUACCCUCGCGCAGAAGGAUGAGCCUAGGUCUGAUUAGCUUGUUGGUGGGGUAACGGCCUACCAAGGCGACGAUCAGUAGCUGGUCUGAGAGGAUGAUCAGCCACACCGGGACUGAGACACGGCCCGGACUCCUACGGGAGGCAGCAGUGGGGAAUAUUGGACAAUGGGCGAAAGCCUGAUCCAGCCAUGCCGCGUGUGUGAAGAAGGCCUUAGGGUUGUAAAGCACUUUAAGCAGGAAAGAAAAGCGCCGGAUUAAUACUCCGAGCGUAUUGACGGUACCUGCAGAAUAAGCACCGGCUAACUCCGUGCCAGCAGCCGCGGUAAUACGGAGGGUGCAAGCGUUAAUCGGAAUUACUGGGCGUAAAGCGUGCGUAGGCGGUUGCGUGUGUCGGAUGUGAAAGCCCCGGGCUCAACCUGGGAAUUGCAUUCGAAACUGCGUGACUAGAAUGUGGUAGAGGAAGACGGAAUUCCACGUGUAGCGGUGAAAUGCGUAGAUAUGUGGAGGAACACCAAUGGCGAAGGCAGUCUUCUGGGCCAACAUUGACGCUGAGGUACGAAAGCGUGGGUAGCAAACAGGAUUAGAUACCCUGGUAGUCCACGCCGUAAACGAUGAGAAACUAGACGUUGGCUGACAUAGUCGGCCAGUGUCGCAGCAAACGCGUUAAGUUCUCCGCCCUGGGGAGUACGGCCGCAAGGUUGAAACUCAAAGGGAAUUGACGGGGGCCCGCACAAGCGGUGGAGCAUGUGGUUUAAUUCGAUGCAACGCGAAGAACCUUACCUGC